Long non-coding RNA from Cucurbita maxima (winter squash), 545 nucleotides. RefSeq lists it as uncharacterized. The record is from RefSeq and is a predicted model, not a curated record. The transcript has 3 exons. Lineage: Eukaryota; Viridiplantae; Streptophyta; Magnoliopsida; Cucurbitales; Cucurbitaceae.
GUUCGUAUAAAAGAAUUCGUUCCCAAACGCAGCAGAAUCAAUGGAGGUUCAGUCUUGGAUAGUCGGAUUUCUCAAUCGAUCCAUUUCCGCCAGAAGCUCGAAAAAUUUCCUGUGUCUGUUCUUAGCCUCUAUUGGAGCCACCCAUCACAAGGAUCAACUGAAGAAGAUGAAUAUCAGUCACAUUUUAACCAUUCCUUGUUCCUUUCCACCGCUGAUCCAAAUGAUUUUAUAUAUAAAACAGUUGGUGGUAUGUAAAGUUCCAAGUGCUAUUUGGUGCAACAAACCAUUUGCUACGGACAUGUCCUGUAACUUCAUAGUUUUACCCAAUCUUUGUUGGAAGUUGCUAUUAGGGACCUCAAACGUUUUCCCUAUGGGCCUAUAUACAACGCCUUAAAGAAUGAUUCAAUCUCCAUUUUUCACAACCAAAGAGUAGGAUUAAUUCGUUCCCAGCUGCAUCUUCAGAAAAUAGAACUGUUUCCACAUGCCAUUGUUUAUGUAGGAUAUUCAUUAUCUAUCUUAUAAUACCCAGAACGAUUUCUGGUAUC